CAUUAAUAAAGGCACUUGAUGGAAUAAAACUCUCACCACAGAUGCUCCUCUAUUGUCGAUCUACAUCCUCACCCUUCUAAUCUCCAAUUUGUCCUUCCCCCCUCAAUCUUCCCAGCGUUUAUCUACUUCACUUCACCCUUUCGAGCCCUAAUCUAAGGGAAAAUUCCCAUUUGAAGAGAAAGAGAAAAGGCUCUCUCUCUCUCUCUCUCUGCAACUCCAAACCCACUGCCCUCUCUUUCUCUCUCUAUCUCUCUCUCCUUUUCCCUCAAAACCCCUCUCAAAUCUUCCAUCUCCAUCCUCUCUACCAGGCCCUUUCAUUUCCCUCAAAGCCCCUCUUCAACCCCAAUUUACAACGAUUCAGAUGCAAAGUCGAAGCCUCGAAAGCUACUCAUUAAGAAGAACACGAUGGCCGAGGAGAGCACUCUUGAUUUUGGAAUUAGGGAAGAGGGUGAUGGGGGAGAAUUGGGGGAUUUUGUGAGAGGAGAGUUGGACUACGAUGAUUCCAGGGAUGGAAAGAGGAAGAAGUUUGAGAUAGAUGGUAUUGGUAGUAAUAGGAAGAGGGAGAAGAAAUUGAAGUCGAAGUCGGAGGGGAGAGAUGGGUUGAAAUUGAAGUUGAAGAAAGCAGGGGAUUCAGGUGAGCGAUCGAGGGAUCAAAAUGGUGAAGCAGACGUUAAGGAGAUGUAGGAUACUAUUGUAGGAGGUGAUUCUAAGGCUGCCUAUAAUGUUAGAGGUUAUGUAGUAAGUGCAGAUACAAUACAUAAUUCUAUCCUUGGAUGCCGCAUGUCUCGUCCUGGACAGAUUCCUAUUUACACACCCAAGAGGGAAUUUCAAGAGCUGGAAGUUGCAAAAGAAGAGUACAUUUGGGCUACUUUUGGUAUAAGAAAAGACCAAAAAAUUCUUUUACCAAAAACUGUGGAGCCCUUUGCUAAAGAUUCAGGGUUGUGUCUAGCUGGUUUGUUAGAGAUGAUCCAACAGUGUAUGCCUUAAUCUGUGAGAAAGAGUAUUAAGAAAUGUCAGACUGGGAAGUUGCAGAAGAGCAUUGAAUGGAUUCCUUACAAUUUUUCUUUCCAAUAUCUCAUAUCAAAAGAGCUGGUGAAGUGAUUGCUUUCACUGGUAAAUUCCAAUACUGGUGAGCUCCAUAGCAUUGUUCAUUUGUUUUCUUUGGGGAAAAAAAAAACACUGGGAGAGUUUUUAAGUUCCUUUUGUACAAAUGAAUAAGAAUACGGAAAGGUGGAAAUGGGAGGAUUGUAUGUCUUGGAUUACAUAGAUAAGAUUUGGAUAUUGAGGGUGUUUUUUUGGAUUUUUUGAGCCAACUCAUAGCUUCUAGCUUUGCAAAAGUUAUUUUGGACUGUUUGGUUAAACUUAUUUUAAACAGCUUCUGAUUCUAACAA
Camellia sinensis is the source of this 1391-nucleotide long non-coding RNA. RefSeq lists it as uncharacterized. The record is from RefSeq and is a predicted model, not a curated record. NCBI's taxonomy places the organism in Eukaryota, Viridiplantae, Streptophyta, Magnoliopsida, Ericales, Theaceae.